Scylla paramamosain (green mud crab) is the source of this 832-nucleotide long non-coding RNA. RefSeq lists it as uncharacterized. Lineage: Eukaryota; Metazoa; Arthropoda; Malacostraca; Decapoda; Portunidae. The record is from RefSeq and is a predicted model, not a curated record. The transcript has 5 exons.
CAUCUGAAGCAUCACACGGUGUUGGUUAAACCCUUCUUGAACCAUCUCCCUUAGUUUGCCGGUUGCCUUGGGUGUGUGCGGGCGUGUGGCCGGACCAUCCUCCUCAGUGGGAAGACGACACGGAUGCACAACACACCUAACUGAACUGACGAAGCCGCCCAGCAUUACAGAUAGGAGAGCCACACAUGCUGCUUCGUCAUAGCAACUUAACAACAAACUGGCAGAGCUGCAGUACUGGUCCUCUGAGUGUCAGCACACAGGGCCGCUAGCAGUCCUCCUCCCGGUCUGACUUGUCCGAGAGAGUCACCUCCGCGAUGUCUGCCAUGGUGGGAGGCUGCAGGGAGGAGACAAUCUUGGCGGGCAUCUCCUGCACUGCCGGGUUGGUGGUCUCGCACAGCCCCUCGAACUGUUGCUUCAGGAUGCGUGAUGCUUCAUCGUACACCUGUAGGAGAGGCUUAAUGAAUCCUUCACCAGUAAACACCAUGUCCAUGAAGAGUUCCUGGAUGAAGCGCCGCGCUGUCAGCCGGUAGUUGUAGGAGGCAAGGAUCUGACAGAUCUCCGCAUAAAGGCAGACGUCCUUGAAACCUGCAGGCCACCGCUGCUUCAGUGUCAGCAGUCCUGUCAGGCCACAAUGGGAUUAGUGAUGCUGAACAUGUUUAUUACAUCCAAAGAAGAGGAUAAUGAUCUUAGUGGGUCAAGGAAGGUUGAUCGUGAUGACAGAGCAUGGGUGGUGGGCAGGACACUCACCUGCCUCUGAAGACUUUGCAGCAAUGGAAGACAACAAGUUGGUGAUGAAGCGCAGCACCUCCUUCCUGAAGAGCACCUGGUUGAC